UACGUAGGUCCCGAGCGUUGUCCGGAUUUAUUGGGCGUAAAGCGAGCGCAGGUGGUUUAUUAAGUCUGGUGUAAAAGGCAGUGGCUCAACCAUUGUAUGCAUUGGAAACUGGUAGACUUGAGUGCAGGAGAGGAGAGUGGAAUUCCAUGUGUAGCGGUGAAAUGCUUAGAUAUAUGGAGGAACACCGGUGGCGAAAGCGGCUCUCUGGCCCGUAACUGACACUGAGGCUCGAAAGCGUGGGGAGCAAACAGG
RNAcentral lists this ribosomal RNA (252 nucleotides) under uncultured bacterium. RNAcentral's name for it is "partial 16S ribosomal RNA". It matches the Rfam family "Bacterial small subunit ribosomal RNA", at positions 524 to 776 of the family's 1533-position model. The record is from RNAcentral.